GCGAGCUUGGCGGAAUGGUAGACGCACGAGACUUAAAAUCUCGAGUCCUCAAGGACGUGCGGGUUCGAGUCCCGCAGCUCGCA
This 83-nucleotide transfer RNA is filed under the name Gluconobacter kanchanaburiensis NBRC 103587. RNAcentral's name for it is "tRNA-Leu". It matches the Rfam family "tRNA". Rfam says of the family: Transfer RNA (tRNA) molecules are approximately 80 nucleotides in length. Lineage: Bacteria; Pseudomonadati; Pseudomonadota; Alphaproteobacteria; Acetobacterales; Acetobacteraceae. The record is from RNAcentral.